RNAcentral lists this long non-coding RNA (1488 nucleotides) under Macaca fascicularis (crab-eating macaque). RNAcentral's name for it is "lncRNA (ENSMFAG00000061666.1)". The record is from RNAcentral. Lineage: Eukaryota; Metazoa; Chordata; Mammalia; Primates; Cercopithecidae.
AGAAAAUGAACUGGAAUAGAGCUUUAAAUUCCACAUUUUGGGGACUUAGAGUAGAACUUGGGGGAGGGGCAGGGGAAGAUUACAAAGGGAGCACAGUAGAACGUACUUAUUAUCUUGAUUUGUAGUAAUGGUUUAUGGAUGUAUACCUGUGUCAAAACUUAUCAAAUUGUACACUUAAAAUAUGUGCAGUUAAUUGUAUAUCAAUUAUACUUCAAUACAUUCAUUUAAAAAGUGUACAUUAUUCAAAUCCUCCCUCAGGAGCUCUUUCUAGAAGUAAGGCAAUGAAACCAGGAAUAUAUGCCUAAAUGUGUCAGCAGACAAAGGCUUUAAAAAUGCUAGACUUGUAUUUGAAAGGCAUAGAGAAUUUUGCUUGGUUUCUGUAAUUCAUGGGGGUUCCAAUGGGCUAUCCUGAUAGGAAGCCAGCUGAUUUAAGGAAUCCCAAUAGGCAUUUUCUUAAUUUUAUCCAACAUUUCAGUACUGCCCCAACCACUCAACCAAGCUUUCAUGUUGACUUUCAGCCAUUGUGACAAGGCACCAUCAAUCAUGGACCCUUUACCAGGAGGGUCCAUGUCAUAAGCCACUAUAUAAAGGAAAUGAUGGGUGGACUGCUUUGGACAAAUGGAUUUAGGGUAGGAGAGAGGGACAACAGUAGGAGCAGGUGGAUAUUGCUGUUUCAACCAAAACCUCGUACUGACCAGAGCUGAGGAACAGAAGAUGGUGAAGGCCUGCAGAUGUAGGUAUUCAGCAUGUCAUCUGAAAUAUUCCCCACAGAGGCAAAAAGCAAGGAAAUUAUCUCUGAAAAGGAAUGAGAAGACAAGUCAGCAGAAUAUGUCAAUGUUUUGGUUGAAGAAGCUGCUUGAAUCUGGGCUUUUCUGGGCCAUGUGUUCUCCCACAACCAGCACUAAGAAAGGCUUUUGGUACAGGCCCAAGACCACCAUAAUCAUCAUUGAUUAUUCCUCUCCACCCCAGUGUCUCUAAAUAAAAUUUCUCUUCUUUCUCUGACAAAGGUGUGUUUGAGUGUUACUGUUCAGCUGAAGAGUGACGUUGGGUGACCUUAGAACCCUAGCCCUUCAUGUAAUCAGUUGGGUGUGAUAAGUAGAGGGAGAACCACAUGAGUCAGGAGGAAAUAUGUAGUUUACCCUUUUUUUCCUGUUUGAAAGAUUUACUAUGAUGUUUGUGGUUGGGCUUUGGUUUGGGAUAAAUUGAGGUGCUUUCUGGAUAUGAUAAGGGCUUAUUUGGUUUGAUAGACCAUCUAAACAAGUCCAGUGCAGGCUAAGACAGGUGAACCACCAGAUCACCACAGUUCACACUUCUCAUUCAUUUGUUAGCAGAAAUGAAGAUGCUUGUUUUCCUAGAAACAAGCCCAGGUCAUCCAUCAUGAAGUCCCGGAAUUGUAAAUGUGAGGAAGUGCAAAGACACAACAUACGCUUACAAAGGCAUAUGUACAUUUGGAACUCUUUAAAGGACAACAUCCUCGAGCUUCUCCUG